UUAGUGGCGAACGGGUGAGUAACACGUGGGCAAUCUGCCCUUCACUCUGGGACAAGCCCUGGAAACGGGGUCUAAUACCGGAUACCACUUGCACGGGCAUCUGUGCGGGUUGAAAGCUCCGGCGGUGAAGGAUGAGCCCGCGGCCUAUCAGCUUGUUGGUGAGGUAACGGCUCACCAAGGCGACGACGGGUAGCCGGCCUGAGAGGGCGACCGGCCACACUGGGACUGAGACACGGCCCAGACUCCUACGGGAGGCAGCAGUGGGGAAUAUUGCACAAUGGGCGCAAGCCUGAUGCAGCGACGCCGCGUGAGGGAUGACGGCCUUCGGGUUGUAAACCUCUUUCAGCAGGGAAGAAGCGCAAGUGACGGUACCUGCAGAAGAAGCGCCGGCUAACUACGUGCCAGCAGCCGCGGUAAUACGUAGGGCGCAAGCGUUGUCCGGAAUUAUUGGGCGUAAAGAGCUCGUAGGCGGCUUGUCACGUCGGGUGUGAAAGCCCGGGGCUUAACCCCGGGUCUGCAUUCGAUACGGGCUAGCUAGAGUGUGGUAGGGGAGAUCGGAAUUCCUGGUGUAGCGGUGAAAUGCGCAGAUAUCAGGAGGAACACCGGUGGCGAAGGCGGAUCUCUGGGCCAUUACUGACGCUGAGGAGCGAAAGCGUGGGGAGCGAACAGGAUUAGAUACCCUGGUAGUCCACGCCGUAAACGGUGGGAACUAGGUGUUGGCGACAUUCCACGUCGUCGGUGCCGCAGCUAACGCAUUAAGUUCCCCGCCUGGGGAGUACGGCCGCAAGGCUAAAACUCAAAGGAAUUGACGG
Molecule: ribosomal RNA, 812 nt
Filed under: Streptomyces sp.
Lineage: Bacteria; Bacillati; Actinomycetota; Actinomycetes; Kitasatosporales; Streptomycetaceae
Description: bacterial SSU rRNA
Rfam family: Bacterial small subunit ribosomal RNA
Source: RNAcentral